This 877-nucleotide ribosomal RNA is filed under the name Torrubiella sp. ZJFYS2017-03. RNAcentral describes it as "partial large subunit ribosomal RNA". It matches the Rfam family "Eukaryotic large subunit ribosomal RNA", at positions 33 to 940 of the family's 3401-position model. Lineage: Eukaryota; Fungi; Ascomycota; Sordariomycetes; Hypocreales; Cordycipitaceae. The record is from RNAcentral.
CUUAAGCAUAUCAAUAAGCGGAGGAAAAGAAACCAACAGGGAUUGCCCCAGUAACGGCGAGUGAAGCGGCAACAGCUCAAAUUUGAAAUCUGGCCCCUAGGGCCCGAGUUGUAAUUUGCAGAGGAUGCUUUUGGCGAGGUGCCUUCCGAGUUCCCUGGAACGGGACGCCAUAGAGGGUGAGAGCCCCGUCUGGUUGGAUACCGAGCCUCUGUAAAGCUCCUUCGACGAGUCGAGUAGUUUGGGAAUGCUGCUCUAAAUGGGAGGUAUAUGUCUUCUAAAGCUAAAUACCGGCCAGAGACCGAUAGCGCACAAGUAGAGUGAUCGAAAGAUGAAAAGCACUUUGAAAAGAGGGUUAAAUAGUACGUGAAAUUGUUGAAAGGGAAGCGCUUAUGACCAGACUUGGACCCGGUGAAUCAUCCAGCGUUCUCGCUGGUGCACUUUGCCGGGCUCAGGCCAGCAUCAGUUUGCCUUGGGGGAUAAAGGCUUUGGGAAUGUGGCUCCUUCGGGAGUGUUAUAGCCCAUUGCAUAAUACCCUGGGGCGGACUGAGGUUCGCGCAUCUGCAAGGAUGCUGGCGUAAUGGUCAUCAGCGACCCGUCUUGAAACACGGACCAAGGAGUCGUCUUCGUAUGCGAGUGUUCGGGUGUAAAACCCCUACGCGUAAUGAAAGUGAACGCAGGUGAGAGCUUCGGCGCAUCAUCGACCGAUCCUGAUGUUCUCGGAUGGAUUUGAGUAAGAGCAUACGGGGCCGGACCCGAAAGAAGGUGAACUAUGCCUGUAUAGGGUGAAGCCAGAGGAAACUCUGGUGGAGGCUCGCAGCGGUUCUGACGUGCAAAUCGAUCGUCAAAUAUGGGCAUGGGGGCGAAAGACUAAUCGAAC